Molecule: unclassified non-coding RNA, 334 nt
Filed under: uncultured fungus
Lineage: Eukaryota; Fungi
Description: sequence contains ITS1
Rfam family: 5.8S ribosomal RNA (bases 1-103)
Source: RNAcentral
GAAGUGCGAUAAGCAGUGCGAAUUGCAGAACCGUGAGUCAUCAGAUCUUUGAACGCAAAUGGCGCUAGUUGGUUACCCAGCUAGCAUGCUUGUUUCAGUGUCUUGUUUUCUCUUCACCCACAUCUUAAUGUGAGAGAUGACCUUCUCUUACUAAGUAUGAAAGUACACUGUACUUUGCAGGCAACUUUCGGGUUGCACUCAAUGCAGCGGUCACAUUUCGAUGUGAACUCGUUGAGAGUAAAGACAGAAAGUGGUUUAAUUACUACUGUCAGUACUUAGAGUCACAAAACUUUACUUGUAUCUGAAAUCAAGCAGGAUCACCCGCUGAACUUAA